Long non-coding RNA from Carassius carassius (crucian carp), 494 nucleotides. RefSeq lists it as uncharacterized. The record is from RefSeq and is a predicted model, not a curated record. Lineage: Eukaryota; Metazoa; Chordata; Actinopteri; Cypriniformes; Cyprinidae. The transcript has 3 exons.
UGGGUUGUUUUUUCAACCCAAAUGCUGGGUUGAUGCCGCUGGGCAGGACUUUGGGAUGUUUUAACCCAAGUUUGGGUUGAAAAUCGGUCUCCGUUUUAACCCAGCGGGGCUGGGUUGAGAACGCGGACGUGAAGGAGAGCAUGCAGGUCACGUUAAGCUCGUACGUCUCCAGUGCGAGCAGCCGCCAUUUUCUCAGCGUGAAAGAAGCGAGAAGCGAGUGAACGACUAUGACUUGUCGAGCUCGUGUCUUCAUUGUCCUCGCGCUGAGAGUUAAAGACACAGAAGCUGUUUGUGUGAGAGUGACUGACUGUCUGAGGAGGAGGAGGUGUUCUUCUGAAGAGAGGGACAGACGGGGUUAAGGAGAGUAAACAUCAGAAUAACACCGUUAUCUUUAUUUUUACUAAGACUAAAAUAAUGUUUGUUUUUGUAGAUGUUGAAAUCCAGAGACAAGAUAACUUCAUUCUUUUGAGACUGAUAACUCAAACCAACUUUGG